Molecule: small nuclear RNA, 162 nt
Filed under: Mustela putorius furo (domestic ferret)
Lineage: Eukaryota; Metazoa; Chordata; Mammalia; Carnivora; Mustelidae
Description: U2 spliceosomal RNA
Rfam family: U2 spliceosomal RNA
About the family: U2 is a small nuclear RNA (snRNA) component of the spliceosome (involved in pre-mRNA splicing). Complementary binding between U2 snRNA (in an area lying towards the 5' end but 3' to hairpin I) and the branchpoint sequence (BPS) of the intron results the bulging out of an unpaired adenosine, on the BPS, which initiates a nucleophilic attack at the intronic 5' splice site, thus starting the first of two transesterification reactions that mediate splicing.
Source: Rfam by way of RNAcentral
AUCGCUUCUCGGCCUUUUGGCUAAGAUCAAGUGUAGAAAUGCCACAGAAUAGCAAGUAUGUGGGCCAGUUUCACAUGGAUCCUUUCAAAGAAUGUCCUGGAAGUUUCCAUGGUUUAUAGCAUUUUCAGCAAGUUUUCACUGAAUCUUUUAAAUUGUUGCCAC